This 86-nucleotide transfer RNA is filed under the name Camelus bactrianus (Bactrian camel). It matches the Rfam family "tRNA". Rfam says of the family: Transfer RNA (tRNA) molecules are approximately 80 nucleotides in length. Their secondary structure includes four short double-helical elements and three loops (D, anti-codon, and T loops). Further hydrogen bonds mediate the characteristic L-shaped molecular structure. tRNAs have two regions of fundamental functional importance: the anti-codon, which is responsible for specific mRNA codon recognition, and the 3' end, to which the tRNAs corresponding amino acid is attached (by aminoacyl-tRNA synthetases). tRNAs cope with the degeneracy of the genetic code in two manners: having more than one tRNA (with a specific anti-codon) for a particular amino acid; and 'wobble' base-pairing, i.e. permitting non-standard base-pairing at the 3rd anti-codon position. RNAcentral also lists the same sequence under 3 other names. Lineage: Eukaryota; Metazoa; Chordata; Mammalia; Artiodactyla; Camelidae. The record is from Rfam by way of RNAcentral.
GAGGGUAUAGUUCAAGUGGUAGAGCACAUGCUUAGCAUGCACGAGGUCCAUGCAUGAGGUCCUGGGUUCAGUCCCCAGUACUUCCU